UGUUGGGUCAAGUCCCGCAACGAGCGCAACCCUCGCCUUUAGUUGCCAGCAUUCAGUUGGGCACUCUAAAGGGACUGCCGGUGUUAAACCGGAGGAAGGUGGGGAUGACGUCAAGUCCUCAUGGCCUUUAUGACCAGGGCUACACACGUACUACAAUGGCCGAUACAAAGGGCAGCGACACUGCGAGGUGAAGCCAAUCCCGUAAAAUCGGUCUCAGUCCGGAUUGGAGUCUGCAACUCGACUCCAUGAAGUUGGAAUCGCUAGUAAUCGUGGAUCAGCAUGCCACGGUGAAUACGUUCCCGGGCCUU
RNAcentral lists this ribosomal RNA (308 nucleotides) under uncultured Desulfobulbus sp. RNAcentral's name for it is "bacterial SSU rRNA". It matches the Rfam family "Bacterial small subunit ribosomal RNA", at positions 1073 to 1382 of the family's 1533-position model. The record is from RNAcentral. Lineage: Bacteria; Pseudomonadati; Thermodesulfobacteriota; Desulfobulbia; Desulfobulbales; Desulfobulbaceae.